Long non-coding RNA from Piliocolobus tephrosceles (Ugandan red Colobus), 1462 nucleotides. The record is from Ensembl. Lineage: Eukaryota; Metazoa; Chordata; Mammalia; Primates; Cercopithecidae.
AAAAUUAUUUUACCGUGUUUAUACAUAGCUGUAUUCUGACUUUUUAAAAAAUAAGCCUAAUACAGAAACAACAUUGUAAAAAGUUUUGCUUUUGUUUUCAAUCAUUUUUUUUUUUUUUUUUUUUUUUUUGAUAUUUCAAAAAAAUUUCACUUGUUUAUAAAUUUACACACAUUGUAUAUAUAUAUAUAUAUACACGUACUAAUAUAUGCAUAUACAUUUUUUCCCCCUAUAAAUUUCCGCUUGUAAAAAAAAAAAAAAAAAAAAAAAAGACGUUGCUAUAUAAAAAAAUAUGGAACAUAUUCCUACAAAAAACAGUGUUAAUAUAGAAAAGGAGGAUGAAGAAGUAAAGACUCCAAAAAAUAAAAAUAAAAAACACUCAAAAAAUAAAAACGAUUUAUCUAAAAGCAAAAAAGAUAUAACAGUAAAUAAAAAGAAUAGUCAAAAUGGUUCUUUUGAAAAUCAUAAUAUAAAUACUUUAAAAAAAGAAACAGAUAAACAUGACUCUGCUAUUAUGAACAGUCAGAAUAUUUCACAUAGUAGUACAGAAUAUCCUUUGAAUAAUACAAGUAAAACAAAAGAAAAUAAAAAAAAAAAUACUAAAAAUGAGAAUACAUUACCAGAUAUAAAAAUAAAUAACGAACAAACUGAUACAGUAUUAGAUAAAACUCUAUCAUUUAAUGAUGUACCAAAAGCAAAAACAUUAAACGAUAUAAAAAUUAAUAAAAGCAGAAGUAGUAAUUAUACUAACGGAUACUCAAAUUAUACUGGUAGUAUUCAAAAAAAUAUGUUUCUUAGCGCUGACAAUAUAAAUUACACAACAAAUAAACAAAAAAUAAUAGACGACCAACUGAUAGUGGAUACACAAAGCGACAUUCUAAAACCAACUAUGAUACAAAAUCUUAAUGAUACCAAUAAUAAUACUAUUAAUAAUACUAGUGAUAAUAGUGGUAGUAAUUAUGAGAAUAAUAAAUGCAUAAAGGUAGAGUCAUUUUUAGAUACCCACCAAGGGACACGUGAAGACUUAUCUACUGUAGUAACACACACGGAUAUGCCCGAAACACACUCAAAAAAUAAAACUAAAAUGAAUGAAGAGAUAGUAAAAAAAGAAUCCGUAAUGGAAGAUUAUAAAAUGGACACAAGUAAUCAAAUUUUAUAUCAAAAUAAAAACAAUAUUGAAAAUAAUCAAAGUGAAUUAUCUAAUGAAAGAAUUAUUAAAAAGAAUCAGACAAAAACAGUAUUCACUGCCCAAAUUUCUCAAAGAAGUAACGCAGAUGCACGUGCAUGUGAAAAAAAGGUAGAAAAGGUUCCAGAGAAAACUGUGUUCGAAUUACAAAUAAGUACAAAAUCCAACGCAGAUGCACGUUCAUGUGAAAAAAAAGUGGAAAAGAUUCCAGAGAAAACUGUGUUCGAAUUACAAAUAAGUACAAAAUCCAACGCAGAUGCACGUUCAUGUGAAAAAAAA